AGCAGCCGCGCUAAUUCCAGCUCCAAUAGCGUAUAUUAAAGUUGUUGCAGUUAAAAAGCUCGUAGUUGAAUUUCGGGGUUCUACCGUUGGUCGGGCUUUGUCUGUACUGGCGUGUAGAAUUUCUACCUUCUGGGGAACCAUCAUGUUAUUAAUUUAACGUGGUGGGAAACCAGGACCUUUACCUUGAAAAAAUUAGAGUGUUCAAAGCAGGCUUAUGUCUGAAUACAUUAGCAUGGAAUAAUAAAAUAGGACGGUGGUCCUGUUUUGUUGGUUUCUGAAUCACCGUAAUGAUUAAUAGGGAUAGUUGGGGGCAUUAGUAUUCAAUUGUCAGAGGUGAAAUUCUUGGAUUUAU
Molecule: ribosomal RNA, 352 nt
Filed under: uncultured Racocetra
Lineage: Eukaryota; Fungi; Glomeromycota; Glomeromycetes; Diversisporales; Gigasporaceae
Description: SSU rRNA
Rfam family: Eukaryotic small subunit ribosomal RNA
Source: RNAcentral